GAUGAACGCUGGCGGCGUGCCUAAUACAUGCAAGUCGAGCGAACAGACGAGGAGCUUGCUCCUCUGACGUUAGCGGCGGACGGGUGAGUAACACGUGGAUAACCUACCUAUAAGACUGGGAUAACUUCGGGAAACCGGAGCUAAUACCGGAUAAUAUAUUGAACCGCAUGGUUCAAUAGUGAAAGACGGUUUUGCUGUCACUUAUAGAUGGAUCCGCGCCGCAUUAGCUAGUUGGUAAGGUAACGGCUUACCAAGGCAACGAUGCGUAGCCGACCUGAGAGGGUGAUCGGCCACACUGGAGCUGAGACACGGUCCAGACUCCUACGGGAGGCAGCAGUAGGGAAUCUUCCGCAAUGGGCGGAAGCCUGACGGAGCAACGCCGCGUGAGUGAUGAAGGUCUUCGGAUCGUAAAACUCUGUUAUUAGGGAAGAACAAAUGUGUAAGUAACUAUGCACGUCUUGACGGUGCCUAAUCAGAAAGCCACGGCUAACUACGUG
This 497-nucleotide ribosomal RNA is filed under the name uncultured bacterium. Its description in RNAcentral is "partial 16S ribosomal RNA". It matches the Rfam family "Bacterial small subunit ribosomal RNA", at positions 28 to 507 of the family's 1533-position model. The record is from RNAcentral.